UUUCUGCCCACCUGGAUGUCGAUCUUAGUCAUACGCUAUGUGAAUAUGACUAGAGACACAUUCAGCUGGGCGUUAGC
Non-coding RNA from Ancylostoma duodenale, 77 nucleotides. The record is from Rfam. NCBI's taxonomy places the organism in Eukaryota, Metazoa, Nematoda, Chromadorea, Rhabditida, Ancylostomatidae.